GACGAACGCUGGCGGCGUGCUUAACACAUGCAAGUCGAACGGCAAGGCACUGCUUUUGUGGGGUGCCCGAGUGGCGAACGGGUGAGUAACACGUGUGUAACCUGCCCUUGAUUUUGGGAUAAGUUAAGGAAACUGGGGCUACUCCAGGAUAGCAGCUCCCGCUGCAUGGUGGGGGUUGGAAAGUCUCGGCGGUUGGGGAUGGACUCGCGGGUUAUGAGCUUGUUGGUGGGGUAGUGGCUUACCAAGGGAUUGACCGGUCGCCGGCCUGAGAGGGUGAACGGCGACAAGGGGACUGAGAGACGGCGCAGACUGCAACGUUGGACAGCAGGGGGGAGUAUGGCACAGUGAGCGCAAGCCGGAGGCGACGACGCCGCGGGCGGAAAGACGGCCUGCUGGGUAUAAACCGCUGUCGCUUAUUACGAAGCUUUUGUGACGGUAAUAAAAAAAUAAGCACCGGCUAACUACGUG
This 468-nucleotide ribosomal RNA is filed under the name uncultured bacterium. RNAcentral describes it as "partial 16S ribosomal RNA". It matches the Rfam family "Bacterial small subunit ribosomal RNA", at positions 28 to 507 of the family's 1533-position model. The record is from RNAcentral.